AGCUAUCUUAACUUCAUACAUAUACAAAUGUAAGGAGAAGAACUGCAUAAUCUUGCAGCAAAUGCUAAGCUAAGAUAGGUAGCCAUACCUUUUUUACAUUGUCUAAGCCUUUAUGCUAUGCUUUUGAAGAACUGAGUAUUAUAACAAUAAGAAACAUAGUUUCAGAAUGUGACAAAUAACAGUCCAAGAUCUGAACUUGAACAAUGAUAGAAUGAAGGAUAAGCAGUUGAUAUACAGGAACUUGAACCAUAGACACAAUUUGAUGAACCUGAGUCUUUUUCUUCUUGUCUGUUGGGAGUUCGGUGAUGAAUAGAUGAUGAUCACACCAUAAGUUACUUGGAGAUGCUGCUGUACCUCUCCUAAUAAAUCUGUGACUGCCCACAACAAUGAGAAAGACAUCUGACUACUUUUAAACUUUUAAUUUACAAUAUCUUAAGUUUUAUUAAUAAUUAUAAUACCUGUGAUGUGCUGUAUUUGAGAUAAUCAUAUUCAUAGUUGGUAUACACAAUAUAAAUAAACACUUAACAAACAAUUAGCAGCUACUUCA
Long non-coding RNA from Amphimedon queenslandica, 547 nucleotides. RefSeq lists it as uncharacterized. Lineage: Eukaryota; Metazoa; Porifera; Demospongiae; Haplosclerida; Niphatidae. The transcript is spliced from 2 exons. The record is from RefSeq and is a predicted model, not a curated record.